UAUGUUAGCGGCGGACGGGUGAGUAACACGUGGGUAACCUGCCUGUAAGACUGGGAUAACUCCGGGAAACCGGGGCUAAUACCGGAUGCUUGUUUGAACCGCAUGGUUCAAACAUAAAAGGUGGCUUCGGCUACCACUUACAGAUGGACCCGCGGCGCAUUAGCUAGUUGGUGAGGUAACGGCUCACCAAGGCAACGAUGCGUAGCCGACCUGAGAGGGUGAUCGGCCACACUGGGACUGAGACACGGCCCAGACUCCUACGGGAGGCAGCAGUAGGGAAUCUUCCGCAAUGGACGAAAGUCUGACGGAGCAACGCCGCGUGAGUGAUGAAGGUUUUCGGAUCGUAAAGCUCUGUUGUUAGGGAAGAACAAGUGCCGUUCAAAUAGGGCGGCACCUUGACGGUACCUAACCAGAAAGCCACGGCUAACUACGUGCCAGCAGCCGCGGUAAUACGUAGGUGGCAAGCGUUGUCCGGAAUUAUUGGGCGUAAAGGGCUCGCAGGCGGUUUCUUAAGUCUGAUGUGAAAGCCCCCGGCUCAACCGGGGAGGGUCAUUGGAAACUGGGGGAACUUGAGUGCAGAAGAGGAGAGUGGAAUUCCACGUGUAGCGGUGAAAUGCGUAGAGAUGUGGAGGAACACCAGUGGCGAAAGGCGACUCUCUGGUCUGUACUG
RNAcentral lists this ribosomal RNA (670 nucleotides) under Bacillus atrophaeus. Its description in RNAcentral is "bacterial SSU rRNA". It matches the Rfam family "Bacterial small subunit ribosomal RNA", at positions 88 to 742 of the family's 1533-position model. The record is from RNAcentral. Lineage: Bacteria; Bacillati; Bacillota; Bacilli; Caryophanales; Bacillaceae.